This 514-nucleotide ribosomal RNA is filed under the name uncultured Lactobacillus sp. Its description in RNAcentral is "bacterial SSU rRNA". It matches the Rfam family "Bacterial small subunit ribosomal RNA", at positions 505 to 1018 of the family's 1533-position model. Lineage: Bacteria; Bacillati; Bacillota; Bacilli; Lactobacillales; Lactobacillaceae. The record is from RNAcentral.
GUGCCAGCCGCGGCGGUAAUACGUAGGUGGCAAGCGUUAUCCGGAUUUAUUGGGCGUAAAGCGAGCGCAGGCGGUUUUUUAAGUCUGAUGUGAAAGCCUUCGGCUUAACCGAAGAAGUGCAUCGGAAACUGGGAAACUUGAGUGCAGAAGAGGACAGUGGAACUCCAUGUGUAGCGGUGAAAUGCGUAGAUAUAUGGAAGAACACCAGUGGCGAAGGCGGCUGUCUGGUCUGUAACUGACGCUGAGGCUCGAAAGCAUGGGUAGCGAACAGGAUUAGAUACCCUGGUAGUCCAUGCCGUAAACGAUGAAUGCUAAGUGUUGGAGGGUUUCCGCCCUUCAGUGCUGCAGCUAACGCAUUAAGCAUUCCGCCUGGGGAGUACGACCGCAAGGUUGAAACUCAAAGGAAUUGACGGGGCCCGCACAAGCGGUGGAGCAUGUGGUUUAAUUCGAAGCAACGCGAAGAACCUUACCAGGUCUUGACAUCUAGCGCCAAUCUCAGAGAUGAGACGUUCCC